AUCAUAAACAGAUGUUAUGUUGGCAGGUAGCUGAGCAUUAUGAGCAGGUGAUUGCGACUGAUGUGAGCGAAGCCCAACUGAAAUGUGCCAUUCCACAUCCCCGGGUCAAAUACCUUCACACCCCCUUAUCUCUCCCCGAUGAUGAAAUAGUGAGGUUGAUAGGGGGCGAGGGCUCGGUUGAUUUGGUGACUGUGGCUCAAGCUGUCCACUGGUUCGACCUCCCAACCUUCUACCCUCUAGUAGCUCGCCUGCUAAGAAAGCCAGGGGGUGUAUUUGCUGUUUGGGGCUACAAUGACAUUGCAGUUAGUCCUACGUUUGACCCAGUGAUGAAGCGCUUCCACGACACCACUCUUCCCUUCUGGAAUGAAAAGAUCCAAUACAUAUUUGAUGGGUACAAGACUCUGCCGUUCCCUUUUGAGAGUGUGGGCUUGGGGUGUGAGGGCCAGCCAGUGUCACUGGACAUACCCAAGAAGUUGUCAUUUGAUGGGUUUUUGAGGAUGUUGAGGUCAUGGUCUGCAGUAACCACGGCUAAGGACCGAGGCAUAGACCUGUUAUCGGAACGGGUGGUGAAAGAGUUUGAAACUGCCUGGGGUGGCUCCCGGGUGGUUCCAUCAGUCACCUACAACGCUUUUAUGCUUGCAGGGAAAGUCAAGCUGUAACCGUCAGUCUCUAAUAACCCACCUUCUUGUUGUACUGCUUCAAAUAAACUCUCUAAACAGCAGUUUUCUUUCUUGUUGAGGAAUUGUUUUACCAGAACAGAAUGAGGUGAGGUUAAAAAUCUAGUCCAAUUUCAUCUGAAAGUGCAAUUUCUGGCCAUAAAUUAAGGAACGUUGUGAACUACUUGUGUGAUUAUUGCAAUUACCUACCAUAAGCUUUCAUUUUGGCAGGGGGUUAAAAACAGUUUUUAUUCUUCAAAAAGAAAAAAAAAAGUUCUUCAAUUUUUAAAAUCACAUUUGAAGAAUUUUGUGCUGAAAAUAGUGUUUUUUUAACCCCAGAAUCAACAUAUUAUAAUAUAUAUAUAUAUAUAUAUAUAUAUAUAUAUAUAUAUAUAUCUAAAACAAAAUAAAAUUUUAAAAAUAAAUUUAAAGUGUCUGAAAUAUUUUCUUAUAGUAUUUUAAGAAAUAAUUAAAAAUACAAUGAAUAGAUGGAGAAUAUUGAGAAUAGGGUUGCCAAUGAGACAGGGAUUUUUUGGAUACCUACCUUCAAUAUUCCACUUUUCUAUUAUGAUAAAUCAUAGUAACUAAGAUAUUUUUCAUAUUGAAAAUAAUAAUUAUAUAAUAUAAUUUAUAUUUUCAAUAUGUAUCUUAAAAUGUGAUAGGUUUGUAAUAUAACAAGUUCUUUAUUUUUUAAUCUUUAUUUGUUUAUUUUUUUAAAAACUUAUCAAUACCUCUUAUUAUUAUUACUAUUUAUCUUAAUUUUGUAAAAGACAAUUAUUUAAAAUAAAGCCAAUAUUUUUUUUUAUCCUAAUCUCCUUUUUCAAAUAUAAUAUUGCAUAUAUUGUGAUUUAAUUAAUCAUUGACAUUGUUUUAGCCAUUAUUUUUAUUUUUAAGAGAUAAUGUCGAAUUUAGAGAAUUCAUUUUGAAUCCGUUGAUUUCUAUGUUUAUUUGUGAGUUUGAUGUUGGGUUGUCUAUUUCUCAUUUAUUUGAUUUGGUAUGAGAAUAAUUUGAUUUCCUUUCAACUAUAUCGUGUCUUUGAAGGUUAUUUUUUUUUUUCUCGUCUUUAUGUCUAAUCUCGGUUUCUUUUCCUACCAUUUAUAAGCAUAUAGGGGGAUUUUUCUGGUUUCUCGGGAGCAAGAGAAGUGUAUUGGGAAAUACUUCUGAGGUAAGUUCACUCCAUAUUCCUUGUUAUCUUCGAUUUUACACUGUUCAUAAUUUUUUUCUGUUAUGUUUGAGAGUUAUUUGUUGACUCUAUGUAUGUACUAGAAAAUUCAUUUUAAAUUCUUUAAUUUCUAUGUUUCCUUGUGAGCUUGAUGUUGGGUUGUCUAUUUUGCAUUACCAUUUCUCAUAUUCUUCGUACCCUCAAAACUUUAUAUUUUUUUUAAAUUUUUUUUUUUCACUUGUAAAUGGAAUAAUAUUGUUUAUUCAUACUAACUAGGCUUAGAAAUUAUUUAAAAAAAAAUCAAAUAUGAAAAAAUUUAAGACGGUACAAAGAAUGUGACAAAGGUUUCUCACAUUCUUUGUACCCAAUGAUGAAAAUAUCGGUAAUCACGGAUAUAUCGGUAACUUGAUUUUACGGAUAUAUCGGAUAUAUCGGUGAAAUAUCGACGGAUAUUUUGAAAAAAAAUUUUGAUAAGUAAAAAAUUGAUCAAAACUUAUGGAAAUGUAAAAAAACCUCGUGUUAAUGUAAUUAAAAAUAUAAUAAAUAAUUUAAAGUUGUUUUUGUGAAGAAUUUGAUAUAUAUAUAUAUAUAUAUAUAAUAUGAUUUGUGAUAUUAAGCAUAAUUAUAUUAUAUUAGUUGUACUUAUACACUCAUUAUGAAGUUUCAUGACAAACUUAUUUUAGUAAAUAUCAAUAAUUUAUACAUAUUAUCACAUAGCUUGAGGUUCAAUUUUGACUAUUGGAUCACAUCCAGUUUCAAUUUGGACCAUCCAAUGCACUGGGGUCCAAAUUGAAAUAUCAAUAAAAUAUUUUAUUUAAGAUCUAAUUUCUAAAAUUUUAUUAAAAAUACGUGGUAACAACUUUCUUUUAUUAACAUUAAUUUAUUUAAAUAAUUAAAAUUAUUAAUAAUUUAUCUUAUUAAAUUAAUUUUAAUCCAUAGUAGUGAUUUAAUCAUAAAUAAUUAAUAAUUAUUUAUAUAGAGAGAGGAAAAUUGUUCUCAUGAUAUGUUUCCUUUUUUUUUUUUAAUCUCUACUAAAUCUAAAAAUAAAAAGGCCACCCACUUCUCUCACUCGGGCAUCAAGAAGCCCGAAGCCCUUUUCUGAAGUUGCCCUCCAGACGAGAGAAUCCCUAAAAAGGCCCUAUUUUCCUCUGCCACUCUCAAUCCUCCCCGGUACUAAUCUAAUCUUGUUAUUUAUUUUCAUUUUUCUGCAACCCCGUUUGAUUCCCAUGAAAAUCCAUCCGCCAUUCGAUUUCUGGGAAAAUUCAUCCUCGUUUGAUUUCCGAGAAAAUCCAUGCAAAACCCCCCAGGAAAACCAGAAAGAUUGCUUUUUAUUUUUUGCUUCCUGUGUUUUCUGGAUCUGUUCUAGGGGUCGCUUUGCUUUUGUGCCAUUGGAUUUAAAUUUCACGAACCCUAAAUCCACGAUUUUUGAGCCAGGCUAAAAAACACAACCUUUGCCUGCAAAUCAUGAUCAGAUUUUGUCACCUGUGCGCGGGCUGGACUGGUAGGAAAUAUCGGGAAAUUUUCAGAAAAAUCGGUAAAAAAUCGGCUAUACAAACCGAAAAUUCGCCGAUAAAUUGCAGUGUCCGGCUAUUUUUUGAAGAUUUCGCCGAUUUUCGUCUGCAUCCAUUUUUCGGCAAUUUUUUCGCCGAUUUUAACCGAAAUUUGGCGAAAUUUCUCCCAUCGACAUUUCGCCCCCCUCUUUCGUAUCGCCGACCACCGAAACCCGAAAUUUCGGCGAAAAAAAUGGAAACUUUCAUCCUUGUUUGUACCUCAAAUUUUUACAUUUUUUUCAAUUUAAUUAUUUUUUAUACAUCCACAGUGGUCAACAAUAUUUUUUACCUUAAUGAACGUCGCUUUUCGUAAAAGGCAUCAGCCCCGAGAGCAAAGGCAAGCAAAUGAAAUAUAAAAACGGAGUGGCACCGGCACAUUCCCCAUAACAAGAAUAGGGAAGAAUGGCAGGGCUGUUCAACAAGCAGGCGGAGAUCUACUUGGAUGCUCGCCCUAAUUAUCCCCCACACUGGUAUUCUAUGUUGGCCGCUCUCACUCCACAACACUCUUUGGCUUGGGAUGUCGGCAUGGGCAACGGUCAAGCAGCUCUCGGUGUCAGUCCUUUCUCCUGCCUCUCUCCCUGUCUCUAAUUUUAUUUGAUUAAACUCAUCUUUAUUUGCUCAUGUUGUGAUUUAUUUACCCUAAAUCACCUGAUGCGGUUCCUUUUAAUUUUUCUCUACACCUAUGAAAUAGAAAAUUUUAGAUUGAUUAAUUCCUUUUCCUGCAUUUUCCUUCAGCAUAUUAGAUUUAUUUUCUUGGGCAUAUUGAUGUUAAAAGUGCCAAUUAAAUUUACUCAUGGAGAAAAGGGGUUGUGAUGAAGCAAUUCAAAUCAUAAACACAUGUUAUGUUGGCAGGUAGCUGAGCAUUAUGAGCAGGUGAUUGCGACUGAUGUGAGCGAAGCCCAACUGAAAUGUGCCAUUCCACAUCCCCGGGUCAAAUACCUUCACACCCCCUUAUCUCUCCCCGAUGAUGAAAUAGUGAGGUUGAUAGGGGGCGAGGGUUCGGUUGAUUUGGUGACUGUGGCUCAAGCUGUCCACUGGUUCGACCUCCCAACCUUCUACCCUCUAGUAGCUCGCCUGCUAAGAAAGCCAGGGGGUGUAUUUGCUGUUUGGGGCUACAAUGACAUUGCAGUUAGUCCUACAUUUGACCCAGUGAUGAAGCGCUUCCACGACACCACU
RNAcentral lists this long non-coding RNA (4544 nucleotides) under Vitis vinifera (wine grape). RNAcentral's name for it is "long non-coding RNA (VVIN_LNC001860)". Lineage: Eukaryota; Viridiplantae; Streptophyta; Magnoliopsida; Vitales; Vitaceae. The record is from RNAcentral.